GAUGGAGCGUUUAAACCUCCCGCUCCGCGUCCUUUCUCCGCUCCGCCUCAGUCUCCGCCAGGGAGGGCCACCCUGAGUCUGCGCGGUUUGUACGGCGACAAGUUUCACGUGCUACUUAAUGUUUUGGUUCAAAUAGUUGCUGGGCGUCUGCUCUGGGUGUUUUGCCUAUUGUUGGGGUACCUGCUCACAGGGAAACAUUCUGACCCUGCCCACCUGUGAACAGCUGCAAGAAAGAAGAAAAUACAUCCCCUCCCUGAGGCUGGCCAAACCAGGAGAUGUUUUGCAAGACUUAUGGCCUUUUUAUUUUACUUCCUCACCUCCUCCCCCUCUCUGUUCUGUAAAAGAAACUAGCAUCCAGACCCUGAUAAAUGGUAUUCUAGGACAUUAGUCUGCGAUCUUCUUGGAUGCUUGGCUUUCUGAAUAAAGUCCCUAUUCCUUGCCUCGACAUCUCAUCUCCCCAUUUAUUGGCCUGUCAUGUGGCAAGCAGAGUGAGCUUGGACUCAGUAACAAAUUUGGCUUAGCCAGCCAGGAGUCUUGCUGUUCAUGGCUAACCGGCCCCGAUCAGGCAAUUUUGGGGCAAGGCCCUAGCAGCUGCUGGGACAAUUUGUUUUAAGGAUCUUCCCUUCAAAAAAUUCCUUGAAGUGAUACUGGCUACCCCAGAGCUCGGCAUUUGGAGCAAGGAAUCGACAAACUUCUGCAAGUCGACAGACUCAAUCUUUGUAGGCUCACAGGGAAACACCCUGACCCUGCCCACCUGUGACUGGCUGCAGAAAAGAAGAAAUUAACACAUCUCCUCCCUGAGGCUGGCCAAAACCAGGAGAUAUUUUGCAAGACUUAUGGCCUUUUUAUUUUACUUCCUCACCUCCUCCCCCUGUCUGUUCUAUAAAAGAAAGUAGCAACCAGACCCCAAUAAGGUGGUACUCUAGGACGCUAGUCUGCCAUCUUCUUGGAUGCCCGGCUUU
This is a long non-coding RNA of Balaenoptera acutorostrata (minke whale), 962 nucleotides long. RefSeq lists it as uncharacterized. The transcript is spliced from 3 exons. The record is from RefSeq and is a predicted model, not a curated record. Lineage: Eukaryota; Metazoa; Chordata; Mammalia; Artiodactyla; Balaenopteridae.